This 497-nucleotide ribosomal RNA is filed under the name uncultured bacterium. RNAcentral's name for it is "partial 16S ribosomal RNA". It matches the Rfam family "Bacterial small subunit ribosomal RNA", at positions 28 to 507 of the family's 1533-position model. The record is from RNAcentral.
GAUGAACGCUGGCGGCGUGCCUAAUACAUGCAAGUCGAGCGAACAGACGAGGAGCUUGCUCCUCUGACGUUAGCGGCGGACGGGUGAGUAACACGUGGAUAACCUACCUAUAAGACUGGGAUAACUUCGGGAAACCGGAGCUAAUACCGGAUAAUAUAUUGAACCGCAUGGUUCAAUAGUGAAAGACGGUUUUGCUGUCACUUAUAGAUGGAUCCGCGCCGCAUUAGCUAGUUGGUAAGGUAACGGCUUACCAAGGCAACGAUGCGUAGGCGACCUGAGAGGGUGAUCGGCCACACUGGAACUGAGACACGGUCCAGACUCCUACGGGAGGCAGCAGUAGGGAAUCUUCCGCAAUGGGCGAAAGCUUGACGGAGCAACGCCGCGUGAGUGAUGAAGGUCUUCGGAUCGUAAAACUCUGUUAUUAGGGAAGAACAAAUGUGUAAGUAACUAUGCACGUCUUGACGGUACCUAAUCAGAAAGCCACGGCUAACUACGUG